UGCCUUCUUUUGAGAGACACCCACAACCAUAUAAUCAACCAUUUCUACAGCUACAGUCACUGCCAGCCAUAUCAUAGCACUGAAAAAAAUAACACAUAUUUUAAGAUUAAAAGGGAAGAUUUUACGACAUUUCUAUUUCAUUAUAUAUCGUGACGUUUUACUACAAGGAGAUACAAUGCAUUUUACAUUACAAAAGCGAAAUAAGACGUGGAUGCCAGCUAUCAAUUUGAGCAUCGUGGGGUUGAUGGUUUAUAUUAUGGCCUGCCCUGCGUCCAGUAUGGAUGUCCUGGUCCAUAACCAGAUCAACGUCCUGAACGGCACCAUGGUGAGGAUCCAGUGCAUCUUCACCUCCUGCUACAAGAUGGACGUCAACAAGUUUGCCAUGAACUGGACCUACCAGGAGAACACCAACGAGACUGAGGAGAUGUUCAUGACCUAUAAGAAGGGGAUGAUGCCCCUGCGGACAGACCAGUUCAGUGACCGGGUGCAGUUUGUGGGUAACCUGGAAAAGAACGACUUGUCCAUCACCCUCUCUGAUGUCCAGCUGUCGGACGAGGGCGUCUAUAACUGCUACGUGCGCAACCCCCCCGACCGCAUCCAGGGCCACGGAAUCAUCAACAUGUUUGUCGUCACAGAACUGCCUCCCCCGCGGGACUCGACCAUAGCAGUGGCGAUCGGGGCAUCAGUCGGCGGUGCGCUGGCUCUGCUCAUCCUGUCCAUGGUGGUGGUGAAGUGUAUAAGGCGCCACAAGAAACAGGAGCUCGUCUCUGACGAGCAGAAGAUGGAGGAAGAGGGCAAGCUGGAUGCAGAGGGGGGCACCGAGGAGGGAACCAAGCAGCUAUAACCGGCCUGCAUGGUCCCGGAGACCCAAGGUUCGCUGGAGCCACACCCCCUCCCUCACGCUGGAAAGCAUUCCUGCCUGAAGAUGUAUAGUGACCCUUCCUUGAAUCCUUGUCCAGCAUCUGCCUCACCCCACGCCCCCUCCUCUUGUCCAGCCAAACAAAAUUGCCGUUAUGGGAAGCUCCAGCCGCCAGCCACGCCACCCACGCCACCCCUGCCUCUGUCUUCAGUCGGCCAUCUUAUCUUCUCUCUUCUUUGACAAGAAGCCACAAAAGGCGGAGGAAGCUAGUGGACGGCAGCCUCCAAACGACGUUCCCCUUUCCCCUUUUUCCUCGCUUCUAGUCUCUCUUAAAAGACAGACGUAGGACAUGUCAAAUGCACUGCAGGACAUUUAAAAUGUGUACUGUAUUUGUGGUUUAAAAAGGGUUCUGAAGUUUGUAAUUUCCACUUGGAAAUUUUUGACCUGAUUUUCCCUUAAGAAAAAUGUAUCAGCUCCUAGAAAAAUAUCGAUUCAUUAUGAUCCACAUAAUAAUUAACAUGUACUGUUGCUGCAGGAUUUUUUUCCUGCUGUAGCAAACUGGCUCAAAUUAAAAUCCUACAUCUGCAGAGUAAAUGGAUGGUUUGACAGCCAUGAAUACUGGGAAAGAUCCAGCUCUCACACUCUCUCUCUCUCUCCCUCUCUCUCUCGCUCGCUCUCUCUCUCUUUUUCCUGCUCUAUCACAUUACUUAGCGAUGCAUAAUGGCUGGGGCAAAAAAAGUUCCCUGUUUCUUUCUGACAGCGAGUGUGUGUGCAAAUGACAACUGUUCUGUGUGCGAAUGGUAUGGAUGGAUUUUUUUGUCUGUGAGUGUUCGUUUUUUUAUGUACAGGGUAUAAGCUUGUGAAGGACCUUCAGAUGUCACUACGGGCAAUGUGGGUGUAUACACGUGUGUGAAUAUGUGUGCGUUUGAGUGUCCUUAGAGUGUUUGAGUGUCUUCUCUUCAAACUCAGACUCUCGCUGAAUGGAGAUGCCAGGGGUGAUUUUAUCAGUAGUCAAUUCUUCUGAACCCUUGCUUCACCUCCAAUAUGAUAUGUUAGCCUGUGUUGCUUCCUCAUACUAAGUUACUACUGUAUCAUAUAUUAGCAUGAUAUUUCUUGCACACAUUAUGACAGGCACAAUUCUGCCUACGAUGGAUGGAUCAUUAACCUGUUGGUCUUUGAUGAUAUUGUAAUUCACAUUGCACAAAAAGCCCAAUCCCCAAAUGAUGUCUCCCUUUUUGUCCACCUGCACUAACACGUGACACUCAAGUGAGCACGCAGACACAUUGACUAUACGUGAACCAACACAUAAGCUUCGACCACCACAUACAGGCUGCUUUGCACAUCAGACGUCCACACAAAGAGGCCUACACAUACACACAAGCUGAGCACUUUCAGGGAAAACAGAAAAAAAGUUAGCGUAACAUUUCUAUCAGAUACAUAUAUUUCUACGUUUUGUCCUAAUACCAAGCUGUAUUCUAGAGGCGUGCCUUGAUUGCUGUCGCUAUUUAGGUGUGGUCCUCACCGUCUUAAACUAUCAAUGUUUGAAUGUAUGGGACCUCUCUCCUCUGAGGUAAUUGAUCUUGGAUGUUCUCUGGAUGUUACAUAUUUAGCUACAUGAGUGUUGCACUGGCUGUGACUGUAUUUCGGGACACAACGUGAGAUGUAAUUAAUACACAAUCAAUCAUUCCACUUUCCACCCAUUGCACUUCAAACUACCUUCAAAGUCGUAGGGCUUCAAUUACAUUAUCCUAAGAGCAUUAUAAUGUAUGUACGUCUGGGAAGGAUCACAAAAAAAGUAUCCAAAAGCACAGAUGAACUUUGGAAUUGCUAAAACAACAUCACAACCGCAAAAUAGUACCGUUAUUUAUUUGAGUUAAUAUUUGUAAUAUGUUGUCUUAAUUUGCUCCUUGUGUCUAAAAGUCUUGGCUUUGUAUUUUUUCAACAGACCUUGUUGGUGGAGCAGACAGGCUAUGGGAGUGUAACUGUAGUUACUGUAUAUGACUGGGUGCCUCUGGUAUUGUCUGAUGUGGUUUCAAGGGCUAAAGCCAGGGGCCACGCUGAUUCUGUGCCCAGGAGUGCCCUACCUCAUCUGGAGACAGUCUCUGCCUGUCUCUGCAAUGGCCACCACAUUCAUUGGCUGCCUUUACGUUAUUCACUGCCAGAGCUUGUUUUCUUUUUAUUUGUCUCCUCAGAUCUCCUAGCCGUUCUAGUUUAGAUUUCUCUUGGUCGAGUAUUGUACUUUGAUAUUGUCGAAUUUUGUACCGCAUAGUCAUGUAAUGUGUACUUCCUGCCAGGACUUUGUGGUUGUCCUGGCUGUUGACGUUGUUGUAGCCAUCAUUACUUGGUCUUUGGGAAGUUGGAGUUUGGGGCGCUCGCAUCUGAAAGAUCAUUAAUUAAACAGUGGAAGGUCAAUGCUGAUCUCCACCUGUAGGGCGUACACGCUCUCAUUCUAGACUUACUUAAUGACUAAUAUAAAUUCAUUCAACUGAUGUGCAAUUGUGAGUGUGGUGUGUAAAUCAGUAUGUAGGGAGUCUGAGACAUCAGCUGGAAUCAUGGUGAGAAAUACGUCUGGGAAGCUUGUUGCCACAACCAGAGACUAUAACUAAGUCACAAUCAGACGUAAUUAUCCAAAGUAACCUCAAGAAUUAAAAAUAAUAAUAAUUGAGAUUGUACUGUAUUUUAUACACGAACACACACACACCGACACACACUGCUACCGGUGGCUAGGGGACAAAGCAAUACAUGUAGCCUCAUGAAAUAAACAUCACCUCCAUUUCCCCUGUCACUCACUCUGACGUCUCCGCUGGACUCCUGAAUGCCGGGAUAGCUAGCUGGGAUAGUGGAGGUCCCAGAGUUUUGCGUUUGACUCUCUCUCUCUGUGUGGUCAUGCAUGUUUUUGCUGCAGUUGUUCCUCUGUGACGCAUGGCUCUAACCAGGCCCCUCUCGCACCGAACACCAGAAAUGCUUGUCUCUAAUAAUGAGCUGUAUUCAUUAUUGUAUUUUGAAAUAAAAUGCGCAUAGAAAUAUUA
This is an RNA transcript of Salvelinus fontinalis (brook trout), 3888 nucleotides long. It is a transcript of the gene named sodium channel subunit beta-2-like, with no coding region annotated. Lineage: Eukaryota; Metazoa; Chordata; Actinopteri; Salmoniformes; Salmonidae. The transcript is spliced from 6 exons. The record is from RefSeq and is a predicted model, not a curated record.